AAAACUUGGUAGACUUGCUGUCCAACUAGUGGCAGGUGGAAGUGGUGUGAAAUCAGUGAAAGUAACUUAUGGUUCAGCUAGAGGACCUGAUGAUCUUGACACGAGAUUGCUUCGGGCGAUGAUAACCAAGGGAUUGAUUGAGCCUAUUUCCAGUUCUUUUGUGAACUUGGUAAAUGCAGAUUUCACAGCUAAACAGAGGGGACUGAGAAUAGCUGAACAAAGAUCUCUUCUAAAUGGUUCUCCAGAAAGUCCACUCGAAUUCAUUCAGGUUCAGAUUUCCAGUGUGGAGUCCAAGUUUGCCAGUGCUCUUUCCGACUCUGGAGAGAUUAGAGUGGAGGGGAGAGUUAAAGAUGGAAUCCCUCAUUUGACAAAAGUUGGAUCUUUUGAAGUGGAUGUGAGCUUAGAGGGCAGCAUCAUUCUGUGCAGACAGGUUGAUCAGCCCGGAAUGAUUGGAAAGGUGGGUAGCAUCUUGUCUGAGGGGAAUGUGAACGUAAGCUUCAUGAGCGUUGGAAGGGUUGCUCCAAGGAAGCAUGCUGUUAUGGCUAUUGGGGUGGAU
This 556-nucleotide unclassified non-coding RNA is filed under the name Hevea brasiliensis (rubber tree). Lineage: Eukaryota; Viridiplantae; Streptophyta; Magnoliopsida; Malpighiales; Euphorbiaceae. The record is from RNAcentral.